Molecule: ribosomal RNA, 448 nt
Filed under: uncultured bacterium
Lineage: Bacteria
Description: bacterial SSU rRNA
Rfam family: Bacterial small subunit ribosomal RNA
Source: RNAcentral
GGACCCGCACAAGCGGUGGAGCGUGUGGUUUAAUUCGAUGCUAAGCGAAGGACCUUACCAAGGUUUGACAUGCUAAUGGUAGUGAAUUGAAAGAGGAACGACCACACUAUGUGUGGAGUUAGCACAGGUGGUGCACGGCCGUCGUCAGCUCGUGUCGUGAGGUGUUGGGUUAAGUCCCGCAACGAGCGCAACCCCUGCUCUUAGUUACCAGCGGUAAGGCCGGGUACUCUAGGAGGAAGGGGGGGAUGAAGUCAGGUAUCGUGCCCCUUAUAUCUUGGGCGACACACGCGCUACAAUGGGUUGGACAGAAGGGACCAAGACAGCGAUGUGGAGGAAAUCCUCAAACCAACCCCCAGUUCAGAUUGCAGGCUGCAACCCGCCUGCAUGAAGCCGGAAUCGCUAGUAAUCGCAGAUCAGCCAAGCUGCGGUGAAUACGUUCCCGGGUCUU